RNAcentral lists this long non-coding RNA (1589 nucleotides) under Homo sapiens (human). Its description in RNAcentral is "HSALNT0171438". The record is from RNAcentral. Lineage: Eukaryota; Metazoa; Chordata; Mammalia; Primates; Hominidae.
CAGCACACCAGCAUGGCACAUGUAUACAUAUGUAACUAACCUGCACAUUGUGCACAUGUACCCUAAAAUUUAAAGUAUAAUAAUAAUAAAAAAAAAUAAAAAUUGGAUUGUUUUCUUUUUACAGAAAAAAAAAAGAAUGCCAAAACUGCUAGUCCCCAAUCUAGUUAUCAGAUUCAACUUUGUUUUAAAAAUAAAUUUUAUUGUGUAUAUUUAAGGUAUACAACACGAUGUUAUAACAUAUCUAUAUCUGUAGUAUAUAUAUGUUCCACUGUAGUGGAACAAAUUAACAUAUUCAUCAUCUCACAUAGUUAUCCAUUUUUCCUCAUGUAGCGAAAGCAGCUACAAUCUACUCAUUCAACAAAAAUCCUGAUACAAUAUACUGUUAUUAACUAUAGUGCCCAUGUUGUACAUUAGGUGUUUUGACUUGUUCAUUCUGCAUGUUUGCUAUUUUGUAUCUUUUGACUAAUAUCUCUAUUUCCUCUCUGUGACCCCGACCCUGGUAAUCGUUUUAUUCUCUAUAUGUUUGACCCCCCGUUUUUCCAAAUUUCACAUGUAAGUGAGGUCAUGUGGUAUUUGUCUCUCUGUGAUGGGCUUAUUUAAUUCAGUAUCAUCUCCUCCGGGUCCAUUUAUGUUACGUCAAAUGGCAGGAUAUCCUCCUUUUUUAAGCCUGAACAAUAUUCGCAUUCUACAUAUACUCCACAGUUUGCUUAUUUAUCCAUCCAUCCAUUGAUUCAGUUUUAUCUUCACCCUCUCUCUCUUCAAACUCCUCCAAGAUUGGCAAAGUCUGGAACAUUUCCUGAAUUCCUAAGACUAAUUAUCCUCAUCUCUUGGGAGCUCAGGCAACCUCCAGGGUCAGUUUUACACAUAAUAAUAGUUGUGCCUUGUCUUUUGGGAGGUGGAAGGUUGGGGUUGGCAGAAGUAAGCAAAGAGCUAAUGCUGGGCACCCUGAGGGCCUUUACUUAGGUUACUUAAAAGACCACACCGUGGAUUCUGGGUGCCCAGAAGUGAAGUAUGGAGAGAUGCAAGGCCACGGGUGUGCUCUCCAAGAGUCAUAUGGGUGUUUAAGAUAUACCUACAUACCUAUGUACACACUCACACAUACACAUUCUCAGAAUGUGUCUGGGACCAGCUGCCUAUCCUCUCACUGCCUCUCUUUCAGGUAAGUGUUCUUGAUGAGGGUGGGCUUUAUGUUCAUAUUCUGGUGAGCCUCAGCUGUCCAGCACCCCAUUGCCCACUUCAUUCUUCAUCAUCAUUGCACCAUUCUCAUCAAUAAGGUUCCCACUCCCUCAUAUCCUGUAUCUGCUGAAAAUGUGUAUUCUUUAAUUUUUGGAUGCAUAAUUCUACUAUAAGCUUUUAAGUCAUCUUAAUUAAAAAAAAAUCUGUUGUGUUGAAUACAUUUCAUCUUUUGGUUUCCGAAAGGAGUAUAUUGCAUUUUGUCAGCUCCUCUUUGUAUGCCAUGCAUUUUUGCUGUACAUACUUCAAGUUCUGUUCUUUAAGUUGAUACAUGUUUAUUUCUUAAUAUAUUAAAAUUUAUUUAAUAUUUUAUUAAUAAUGAAUCAUUUUGUCCUUAAUAAAAACAUUUAGCAUAA